This 497-nucleotide ribosomal RNA is filed under the name uncultured bacterium. RNAcentral's name for it is "partial 16S ribosomal RNA". It matches the Rfam family "Bacterial small subunit ribosomal RNA", at positions 28 to 507 of the family's 1533-position model. The record is from RNAcentral.
GAUGAACGCUGGCGGCGUGCCUAAUACAUGCAAGUCGAGCGAACGGACGAGAAGCUUGCUUCUCUGAUGUUAGCGGCGGACGGGUGAGUAACACGUGGAUAACCUACCUAUAAGACUGGGAUAACUUCGGGAAACCGGAGCUAAUACCGGAUGAUAUUUUGAACCGCAUGGUUCAAAAGUGAAAGACGGGCUUGCUGUCACUUAUAGAUGGAUCCGCGCUGCAUUAGCUAGUUGGUAAGGUAACGGCUUACCAAGGCAACGAUGCAUAGCCGACCUGAGAGCGUGAUCGGCCACACUGGAACUGAGCCACGGUCCAGACUCCUACGGGAGGCAGCAGUAGGGACUCUUCCGCAAUGGGCGAAAUCCUGCCGGAGCAACGCCGCGUGAGUGAUGAAGGUCUUCGGAUCGUAAAACUCUGUUAUUAGGGAAGAACAUAUGUGUAAGUAACUGUGCACAUCUUGACGGUACCUAAUCAGAAAGCCACGGCUAGCUACGUG